GGAUGGGAGGUGUCUCAGCAGUGCCAGCACAGGGACAGGCACUGUCCUGGUGCUCCUGAUCAAACAUUCAGUCAGGAGCCUCAACAAUUCCUGUUUUUUGGGGUAUUUUCCUAUCCCUGAGGUAAAUUUCUGGGAGAAUGAGGGAUUGUGAUGCAGGGCUGGAGCAAGGAUGGAUUUUCUUGCCGUUGUUCCCGGGGGGCUGUCCCAGGCUGCUUUCCAUGUUCCCCUGUGAGCUCUGCCUGCUGUCUCCUGUCUGUGUCCGUAACUCCCGUCGCUGUCCCGCUUGGAGAAGUUUCCUGGGCUGGGUCUGGCUCUGUGUUGCCUGGCUGUGGGUGCACCCACAGAGUCCCUGUCCCAUCGUAUCCCUGAUGUCUGUCCUGCUCUUGCCCAGACUGUGCCCUGUCCAAGCCUGAUCUGCUACUCUGGCUGGAAAGAGAAGAGCUGAGCACGCUGACGGAGUCGGAGCCAGAGGCAGUGGAUGUGUCCCCAGAACCGGCUGUAGAGCUGGCCCGCCCGAGCUGCUCCAGAGGUGAUGGGGUGCUGGAGGCAAAGGCAGCACAGCCUGGUGAUGGGAGCUGCAGGCAGCCAGAGGAGAGCGGGAACCUGGCAGAGGAAAGUGGAAAACUGGCAGAGGAAGGUGGGAACCCAUCAGAGCAAAGUGGGAAGUCAGCAGAGGAAAGUGGGAAGUCAGCAGAGGAAGGUGGGAAGUCAGCAGAGGAAGGUGGGAAGUCAGCAGAGGAAGGUGGGAAGCCAGCAGAGGAAAGUGGGAGCCCAGCAGUCCCGGAGGACUGCAGCACACCCCCCAUCCCUCUGGAAGCUGCUGUCCCAGGGGAUCUCAGCC
Molecule: long non-coding RNA, 841 nt
Organism: Empidonax traillii (willow flycatcher)
Lineage: Eukaryota; Metazoa; Chordata; Aves; Passeriformes; Tyrannidae
Exons: 3
Source: RefSeq, a predicted model, not a curated record